UAGUUGUAUAUCUUGGCAAUGUCUUAACUUUUGUAUUUUUUGAUGUUUUUUUUAUGAUUGUACCUGACUCGAAAAUGUGUUUGCUUCACAUCUGCUAUAGCUUAAUGGCUCCCACAACACCUUGAUGAUUCUUAACAAUAGGAGAAUGAAGAUGAUGCUAAAAAAAUAAGGAUCUCGAUUCAUCUAAAAAUAAGACUAAAGUAUAUUCUUCGAGUGACCGAACUGAAGCUUGACAAGGGUAAAGGAAAACAAAAAAUUUCCUCAACCAAGUCUGAAAAAUUGCCCAAGGUUGAGAACUUGAUGAAGGAUGCCAUGAAGUCACUCCUGAAGGGCACCCUUAAAGUCGAUAUUACUCCUGGUAGUCCUCAAGAAACAUCUAAAGAAAAAAUUCAAAAGGUAGGUGUUUACGAAUCAACAUAUCACUAGGGUUUUCUAUGUUCGAUUACCUUAUAUCGAAUUAUUGUUACUCUACGCCUUGCAAGAUGUGUAUAUCAUUAUCACCUCUUCUUCUUGAGAUGUUUC
Molecule: long non-coding RNA, 522 nt
Organism: Cajanus cajan (pigeon pea)
Lineage: Eukaryota; Viridiplantae; Streptophyta; Magnoliopsida; Fabales; Fabaceae
Source: RefSeq, a predicted model, not a curated record